Molecule: transfer RNA, 70 nt
Filed under: Loxodonta africana (African savanna elephant)
Lineage: Eukaryota; Metazoa; Chordata; Mammalia; Proboscidea; Elephantidae
Rfam family: tRNA
About the family: Transfer RNA (tRNA) molecules are approximately 80 nucleotides in length. Their secondary structure includes four short double-helical elements and three loops (D, anti-codon, and T loops).
Source: Rfam by way of RNAcentral
GCCGUGGUGGUUCAGUGGUAGAAUUCUCACCUUCCAUGUGGGAGACCUGGGUUCAAUUCCUGGCAAUGCA